Molecule: long non-coding RNA, 336 nt
Filed under: Elaeis guineensis (African oil palm)
Lineage: Eukaryota; Viridiplantae; Streptophyta; Magnoliopsida; Arecales; Arecaceae
Description: long non-coding RNA (EGUI_LNC076293)
Source: RNAcentral
GUGUACCUCCCUCCAAUGUUUCAGGUCCCUAUUCUCUUGUCAGUCCAGUGAAAUUUGGAACAUUCUCCUUCGAUCCAAAAGCCGUCAAUCGCAUUUUAUAUAACCUUCGGAUCAUACCUCUAAACAGAAAGAGAAAAAGGCACAGCUACUAUGUUAUACUGUUCGUGCCAAGGAAAGCUUUAAGGCAGUCCAAUAGCACCGAAUUGAUUCUUUCUUCACCCCUGAAAGGGAGUCAUGAACAGGAAAAGAAAAGACCUCUUGCUCCUGACCCGAACCAUCGGAAGGAAAGAAAGCAUUUGAACAAGACCAAGGACACCAUCACUAAACCAUAUUGAC